RNAcentral lists this unclassified non-coding RNA (301 nucleotides) under fungal sp. Its description in RNAcentral is "partial internal transcribed spacer region". The stretch from base 1 to 46 matches the Rfam family "Eukaryotic small subunit ribosomal RNA", at positions 1786 to 1831 of the family's 1831-position model. RNAcentral also lists the same sequence under 1 other name. Lineage: Eukaryota; Fungi. The record is from RNAcentral.
AAGUCGUAACAAGGUAACCGUAGGUGAACCUGCGGUUGGAUCAUUUACGAUCUGCACCCUGACAAAGGGUCGAUCCACACCUGUGCACCUUAAUGACGUGUUUGGCGGUAGGAUGGUCCGAACCCCGCAGCAAUCAGUAGAUUGUUAGUCGAUUACUAGGACAGUCCGCGUCGGAAGCCUGGGUCACCAUGCUCUGGCGUAUGCCGCCUGUGAAAUCUACAACUUACACUUUUGACUGAUCAUGAAAUCACGCAAGUGAUACAAACCUAAACAACUUUCGACAAUGGAUCUCUUGGCUCUC